AUUGAACGCUGGCGGCAUGCUUUACACAUGCAAGUCGAACGGCAGCACGGGCUUCGGCCUGGUGGCGAGUGGCGAACGGGUGAGUAAUGCAUCGGAACGUACCGUGUAAUGGGGGGAUAACGUAGCGAAAGUUACGCUAAUACCGCAUACGCCCUGAGGGGGAAAGCGGGGGAUCGUAAGACCUCGCGUUAUACGAGCGGCCGAUGUCGGAUUAGCUAGUUGGUGGGGUAAAGGCCUACCAAGGCGACGAUCCGUAGCGGGUCUGAGAGGAUGAUCCGCCACACUGGGACUGAGACACGGCCCAGACUCCUACGGGAGGCAGCAGUGGGGAAUUUUGGACAAUGGGCGCAAGCCUGAUCCAGCCAUGCCGCGUGAGUGAAGAAGGCC
Molecule: ribosomal RNA, 387 nt
Filed under: uncultured bacterium
Lineage: Bacteria
Description: bacterial SSU rRNA
Rfam family: Bacterial small subunit ribosomal RNA
Source: RNAcentral